RNAcentral lists this ribosomal RNA (386 nucleotides) under uncultured bacterium. Its description in RNAcentral is "bacterial SSU rRNA". It matches the Rfam family "Bacterial small subunit ribosomal RNA", at positions 370 to 772 of the family's 1533-position model. The record is from RNAcentral.
AAUGGGCGAAAGCCUGACGCAGCAACGCCGCGUGCGGGAAGAAGGCUCUCGGGUUGUAAACCGCUUUCAGAAGGAACGAAACUGACGGUACUUUCAGAAGAAGGUGCGGCCAACUACGUGCCAGCAGCCGCGGUGACACGUAGGCACCAAGCGUUGUCCGGAUUUAUUGGGCGUAAAGAGCUCGUAGGCGGUUCAGUAAGUCGGGUGUGAAAACUUUGGGCUUAACCCAAAGCCUGCAUCCGAUACUGCUGUGACUUGAGUACGGUAGGGGAGCGGGGAAUUUCUAGUGUAGCGGUGAAAUGCGCAGAUAUUAGAAGGAACACCGGUGGCGAAGGCGCCGCUCUGGGCCGUAACUGACGCUGAGGAGCGAAAGCGUGGGUAGCAAA